This 3231-nucleotide small RNA is filed under the name Pongo abelii (Sumatran orangutan). RNAcentral's name for it is "retained intron". The record is from RNAcentral. Lineage: Eukaryota; Metazoa; Chordata; Mammalia; Primates; Hominidae.
CGCCCAUACUUUGGUGGCCACUGGCAGUCAGCGGCGCGGACUGCCCCGAGGGCGGGAAAGGGUGGUCACUGGGUCAGCCCGAAGCACCUGACAUGAGGGCGGGGACCCCGAAAUGCACACGAAGUCCGGAACUGGUCUUCUGUGAUUUUCAUUCGCCCUGGUGUCUGUUCCCUUUCGUACUCAAAGCUCGUGCAUCCAGGGAGAGGAAACCGGAGAUAGGGUCUUCGGGCCCCGGGCAGACCCUCUGUGCCGCUGCAAACCGUUGGGGCCUGAGGCUGUCAGGUCCUCCCCCAGACACCUGCGGACCCUCCCUCGCGUGGCUUCCCGUCUGGUCAUGGCGAGAUUCUGGGUCUGCGUAGCCGGUGCUGGCUUCUUUCUUGCAUUUUUGAUUUUGCAUUCGCGUUUUUGUGGCUCUCCAGUGAGUUGGGUAGUGAGGAAAUGACUGUCGGGUGUGCGGAUGGCCCUGUUGGGAGGCGUCGCCACGGUCGUGGGAUGGAGGUGGCAGGCCCUGGUUCCCUCAGUAGCUUGUCUCAAAGCCUACACCUGGGUCCAAACUGCCUUGACUCUUUGAGUUUAAAAAUUUGUGUAUGUUACAUCGCCAUUUUCCUCUUUCCCAACUCCUACUACAUCCUCAAAUAAUUUGCAGACUUGUAUUGUGGUCGUGUUGGUCUUUAGGCAUCUUCAGCUCAUUUCUUUGGAAUUAUUUCAGUCCAGCAAACUUCUAGUUGUCAAGGCAUGCUUAAAAAUAAGCCCUGUUACCCCCUCCCCCCCGCCCUUCUUUUGUUCUUACCUAGAGGGUAAACUAAAUCUGAAUUGUCUAAUUUUGUUUAAGGUUUUGAGGAACUUUACUUUUGCAGUUUCCUGGAGAACUGAGAAAAUUCUUUACCGGCUGGAUGUGGGUUGGCCUAAGUACCCAGAAUAUUUUACCGGAACAACAUUUUGUGUUACAGUUGAUUCCGUCAAUGGAUUGGUUUACAUAGGUCAAAGAGGGGAUAACAUCCCAAAGAUAUUAGUGUUCACAGAGGAUGGAUAUUUCCUACGAGCCUGGAAUUAUACAGUUGACACACCUCAUGGUAUAUUUGCAGCCAGUACUCUAUAUGAACAAUCCGUCUGGAUCACGGAUGUAGGAAGUGGUAUGUAUAGUAAUAUCUAUUAAAUUAUCUUACUGGAAAUCGCAUCUUUGCACAUGUCCUUGCUUGUAUUGUUUAAAAUCAGAGUUGCUGAAUCUAACUGUAAUUUCUUUAACGAUUCAUGAAAUCACAUGUUUUUAACAAACUUUAUAUUGUACUUCUGUGGAAUUAAGAAAUAUGACAAGGGCUGGACGCGGUGGCUCACGCCUGUAAUCCCAGCACUUUGGGAGGCCGAGGCGGGCGGAUCACGAGGUCAGGAGAUCGAGACGAUCCUGGCCAACAUGGUGAAACACCUUCUCUACUAAAAAUACAAAAAAAAAAAAAAAUUAGCCGGGCAUGUUGGCGGGCCCUUUAGUCGCAGCUACUGGGGAGGCUGAGGCAGGAGAAUGGCGUAAACCCGGGAGGCGGAGCUUGCAGUGAGCCGAGAUCGCGCCACUGCACUCCAGCCUGGGUGACAGAGCGAGACUCCGUCUCAAAAAAAAAAAAAAGGGAGAAAUUUGACAAGGAGCCUGUUAAUAUGAUCUUUCCUUGAACUUGUCUAGGUACUUUCCCUCUUUAAAGCAUCAGUUGCUCUUCUCAGAUUAAAUAACUCUAAACUGAAGCCAAAUAAAGUGGCAGUCUCUGAAAGCAAUGACUGGUAUCCUUGACUCUUAUUUUCCUUUUCCAGUUCUCUUUCAUAAAAGAUUGUGAAAUCGUAACUGUAUUGUUGCUCAAAGUGCAAAGAUUGCAGAAACUGUUGUUAAUGAUUUUGAAAUUCUACUGACUGAAGCAUAUCUGAAAUCUUCCUGCCAUCAAAUAUUUUUAGUAGAAAAAGCUGAAAAAUGAAGUGAGCACAACUGAAUGUGCAGCUAUGGAGAAAGUUUUCAGAGAAACAAUUCACCUGUGGCUGUAGUUUAAGACAAGGCAAUACCUGAGAUAUCCUGGCAUUACCCUAGGAAUUCAGGAAGAAAUGGGAUUAUAAAGACAUUAUUUCUAGUAUUCCUUGGCCCAGUUAUGUUCUUGAAUUGAGGGACAUCCUGGUUCUACAGUCCUGGCUGAUUCAGAUACCAUUUUUUAGAGAUAAUGAGUUCUCAGUUUCCGUAAGUAGUGCCAUUAUCACAGCUGUUCUCAGAACCCAUAAGAUUUCUGGGCCUCAGCUGAUGGCCCAUUUAUUUCAUGCUGUGUUUUACAUAGUACGAAUCUGGUUCAACCAAAAAAAAAAAUCUAUAGAUUAUCACUGAGUGAAUUGUUAAUACUGUAAUGAGAGUCUAUUUUCACUUUUUUCCUGAAGAUCCACUGUUAAAGACCGUUUCUUUGAGUUCAUUUUAUUCAUGUGAUUUUUAAAAAUAAGACUUCCUUGAUUCCCAGAAAUAAAGAGCACAGAUGAUCUCUUCAUUUUUUCCAUUACAGCUAAUUUUCUACCCAGAGAUCUGAAAACAGUUUUAUGUUCCUAUUUCCCAAAGGAAUAAAUUUCCUGUAAUGAAAAAUAUGGCUACAAAUUAGCCUUUUGCUUUUUGAGAAAAUUUUUUAUUGGUAGUCUUUUUUGCUAGUUUUUAGAAACUUGGAGGCUUAUGUGUUUUUUAUUGCUAUAAACUUUAGCUCAACUGCCCAAAAGUGUAAUAGUAAAUAAAUUAUUUGACAUAGAAUUGUAAUGCAAGCUGAUUCACACUUUCUUUCUGGUAAGCUCAGUGUAUCCAGUUUGUCUUUUAAAUACCUAUCAAUUAAUUUGGCAUAUGUACCUUCAAAGUGAUUUCUGUUCACUGCUUUAUGAUAUUCCCUUAUUAGUAGUCUGCUUUAUGCUCUUGCUUGUAAGAUAAUUUUAACUUAAAGAAAUUUUAAUGUGAGAAAAUAAGAUACUCAUGAUUUACAAAGAUUAUUUUCUUCUUAGCAAAGAAAAGUUGAGGGGUUGAAUUUUGAAUGUCUCCACAAGAUGAAAAUGCAGUUAAAAAAAAACCAUAGAGAACGUUUUUGUUGACUUACUGAAAUUUAAGAUCUGUAUGUGAGUGAUUGAAAUAACAGUUUCAAAUAUAAGCUGUUCCCUUUACAUUUUCUUCUUGAUUUCCUUUCAUAAGCAAUGCUUAUUCAAGGUCAUAAGAUUAAAAAAGAAAAUGAUGCACCUAUA